AUUGAACGCUGGCGGCAUGCCUUACACAUGCAAGUCGAACGGCAGCACGGGUGCUUGCACCUGGUGGCGAGUGGCGAACGGGUGAGUAAUACAUCGGAACAUGUCCCGUAGUGGGGGAUAGCCAGGCGAAAGCCGGGUUAAUACCGCAUACGAACUUCGGAUGACAGCGGGGGACCUUGUGGCCUCGGGCUUUGGGGUUGGCCGAUGGCUGAUUAGCGAGUUGGUGGGGUAAAGGCCUACCGAGGCGACGAUCAGUAGCUGGUCUGAGAGGACGACCAGCCACACUGGAACUGAGCCACGGCCCAGACUCCUCCGGGAGGCAGCAGUGGGGAAUUUUGGACAAUGGGCGAAAGCCUGAUCCAGCAAUGCCGCGUGUGUGAAGAAGGCCUUCGGGUUGUAAAGCACUUUUUUCCGGAAAGAAAUCCUUGGCCCUAAUACGGUCGGGGGAUGACGGUACCGGAAGAAUAAGCACCGGCUAACUACGUG
Molecule: ribosomal RNA, 486 nt
Filed under: uncultured bacterium
Lineage: Bacteria
Description: partial 16S ribosomal RNA
Rfam family: Bacterial small subunit ribosomal RNA
Source: RNAcentral